GGCGCGUAGAUGAUACUAGCUGUCUGCGAUAUACAGUAGGCGGCUCAGCGAAAGCGUUAAGUAUUCCUCCUGGGGAGUACGUUCGCAAGAAUGAAACUCAAAGGAAUUGACGGGGGCCCGCACAAGCGGAGGAACAUGUGGUUUAAUUCGAUGAUACGCGAGGAACCUUACCCGGGCUUGAAAUGCAUAUGACCGAAAUGGAAACACUUCUUCCCUUCAUGGCUUAUGUGUAGGUGCUGCAUGGUUGUCGUCAGCUCGUGCCGUGAGGUGUCGGCUUAAGUGCCAUAACGAGCGCAACCCUUGUCGGUAGUUGCUAUCAGGUAAUGCUGGGGACUCUACCGAGACUGCCAUCGUAAGAUGCGAGGAAGGUGGGGAUGACGUCAAAUCAGCACGGCCCUUACGUCCGGGGCGACACACGUGUUACAAUGGGUGGUACAACGGGCAGCUACCGGGCGACCUGAUGCCAAUCUCUCAAAUCCCCUCUCAUUUCGAAUCGAAGCCGGCAACCCAACUUCGGGAAGUUGGAUUCCCUAGAAAUCCCCAUUCACCCCCGGCGCGUGGAAUACUUUCCCGGGCCUGGACCCCCCCGCCCGCCAAGCCUUGAAAGCCGGGGGGACCUAAAUUCCUUGACCGUCAGAGGAGCCUCCUAUAAAAAAACCGGUGACUGGUGCUAAGUCAUAACAAGGCAAU
Molecule: ribosomal RNA, 690 nt
Filed under: uncultured bacterium
Lineage: Bacteria
Description: bacterial SSU rRNA
Rfam family: Bacterial small subunit ribosomal RNA
Source: RNAcentral